GAGAAUUUCCCUUGGCGCGCGACGUAAGGAAACAGCUGCGGCGGCUGCUGCGGUCCGAGGCGUCUCAUCCCCAGCGCAGUGGGACUCAGGCUGCCGCCGCCGCUUGUCUCUUCCUCUCAGUCCAAGUGAACACACUGUAUUGAAGC
Molecule: non-coding RNA, 146 nt
Organism: Chelonoidis abingdonii (Abingdon island giant tortoise)
Lineage: Eukaryota; Metazoa; Chordata; Testudines; Testudinidae
Source: RefSeq, a predicted model, not a curated record